GACGAACGCUGGCGGCGUGCUUAACACAUGCAAGUCGAACGGAAAGGCCCUGCUUUUGUGGGGUGCUCGAGUGGCGAACGGGUGAGUAACACGUGAGUAACCUGCCCUUGACUUUGGGAUAACUUCAGGAAACUGGGGCUAAUACCGGAUAGGAGCUCCUGCUGCAUGGUGGGGGUUGGAAUGCUUCGGCGGUUGGGGAUGGACUCGCGGCUUAUCAGCUUGUUGGUGGGGUAGUGGCUUACCAAGGCUUUGACGGGUAGCCGGCCUGAGAGGGUGACCGGCCACAUUGGGACUGAGAUACGGCCCAGACUCCUACGGGAGGCAGCAGUGGGGAAUAUUGCACAAUGGGCGGAAGCCUGAUGCAGCAACGCCGCGUGCGGGAUGACGGCCUUCGGGUUGUAAACCGCUUUCGCCUGUGACGAAGCGUGAGUGACGGUAAUGGGUGAAGAAGCACCGGCUAACUACGUG
Molecule: ribosomal RNA, 468 nt
Filed under: uncultured bacterium
Lineage: Bacteria
Description: partial 16S ribosomal RNA
Rfam family: Bacterial small subunit ribosomal RNA
Source: RNAcentral